CCUACUUUUCGCAGCAUUUGCGGAUAUUGCACAAUGGGGGAAACCCUGAUGCCUCUCCUCCUCUUUCUUUCCUCCUUCUUUCGGUAUGUAAAGCUCUAUCAGCAGGGAAUAAAAUGACAGUACCUGACCAAGAAGCCCCGGCUAACUACGUGCCAGCAGCCUCUUUAAUACGUAGGGGGCAAGCGUUAUCCGGAUUUACUGGGUGUAAAUUUAGCGUAGACGGUUAUGUAAUUCUGGAGUGAAAGCCCGGGGCCCAACCCCGGGACUGCUUGGGAAACUGUGUAACUGGAGUACAGGAGGGGCAG
Molecule: ribosomal RNA, 305 nt
Filed under: uncultured bacterium
Lineage: Bacteria
Description: bacterial SSU rRNA
Rfam family: Bacterial small subunit ribosomal RNA
Source: RNAcentral